This 588-nucleotide unclassified non-coding RNA is filed under the name Hevea brasiliensis (rubber tree). The record is from RNAcentral. Lineage: Eukaryota; Viridiplantae; Streptophyta; Magnoliopsida; Malpighiales; Euphorbiaceae.
GAAAACCUCCAUAAAUGUCGACAGUGUACGUUUUGGAACCGCCGACGAAGGGGAAAGUGGUACUUAACACGACGUAUGGGCCAAUAGAUAUAGAACUAUGGCCAAAAGAAGCACCAAAAGCUGUAAGGAAUUUUGUUCAAUUAUGUCUCGAAGGUUACUAUGAUAAUACCAUUUUUCAUCGUGUUAUCAAAUCUUUCCUUGCUCAAGGCGGUGACCCAACCGGCACCGGCACUGGUGGUGAAAGUAUAUAUGGCGGUGUGUUUCCUGAUGAAUUUCACUCCCGUUUAAGAUUCAAACAUAGGGGUUUGGUGGCAUGUGCCGGUGCAGGCACACCAAAUUCAAAUGCUAGUCAAUUCUUUAUGACUUUGGAUCGUUGUGACUUUCUCGACAAGAAGCAUACAAUCUUUGGAAAAGUAACUGGGGAUUCAAUAUAUAAUCUUAUUACAUUGGGUGAAGUUGAAACCGGCAAGGAUGAUCGGCCUGUUGAUCCUCCACCUAAGAUACUCUCUGUAGAGGUAUUAUGGAACCCUUUUGAGGAUAUUGUGCCAAGAGCAAAGCCUGCAGAAGCUUUGCCUUCUGGAGUUGCAA